This 497-nucleotide ribosomal RNA is filed under the name uncultured bacterium. RNAcentral's name for it is "partial 16S ribosomal RNA". It matches the Rfam family "Bacterial small subunit ribosomal RNA", at positions 28 to 507 of the family's 1533-position model. The record is from RNAcentral.
GAUGAACGCUGGCGGCGUGCCUAAUACAUGCAAGUCGAGCGAACGGACGAGAAGCUUGCUCCUCUGAUGUUAGCGGCGGACGGGUGAGUAACACGUGGAUAACCUACCUAUAAGACUGGGAUAACUUCGGGAAACCGGAGCUAAUACCGGAUAAUAUAUUGAACCGCAUGGUUCAAAAGUGAAAGACGGUCUUGCUGUCACUUAUAGAUGGAUCCGCGCUGCAUUAGCUAGUUGGUAAGGUAACGGCUUACCAAGGCAACGAUGCAUAGCCGACCUGAGAGGGUGAUCGGCCACACUGGAACUGAGACACGGUCCAGACUCCUACGGGAGGCAGCAGUAGGGAAUCUUCCGCUAUGGGCGAAAGCCUGACGGAGCAACGCCGCGUGAGUGAUGAAGGUCUUCGGAUCGUAAAACUCUGUUAUUAGGGAGGAACAUAUGUGUAAGUGACUGUGCACGUCUUGACGGUACCUAAUCAGAAAGCCACGGCUAACUACGUG